This is a long non-coding RNA of Triticum aestivum (bread wheat), 4526 nucleotides long. RefSeq lists it as uncharacterized. The transcript has 4 exons. The record is from RefSeq and is a predicted model, not a curated record. Lineage: Eukaryota; Viridiplantae; Streptophyta; Magnoliopsida; Poales; Poaceae.
CUCGACUCUCUCUUCGAUCUGUCCGCCAGCGACGGCGAGACAGGGGAGCUGUGCCCCGGCCGCCGGCGACGGCGGCGAGAGCCACCACAGCCGCGCGCACCUCCUUUCCCUUUCCCCUUUUCUUCUGUGGCUUAGAUAGGGAGAGGGAGAUGCGUUGCGUCACUAGACGUCAAUGGCGACGGCUCGGCCGCCCGCCCCGGCCGCCGGCGGCGGUAGCCACCGCGCGGCGCCCUUUCUCUUUCUCCCUCCCGUCCUCUUCUCCCGUCUGUGGCAGAGAGGGAGAGACACAGCUGUGCAUCCUGUGCUCCCCUUGGCGUUCUGUUACCAGACGGGCGACAACGAUGGCUCAGCCGCCGAAGACGGCGCCGAAGGCUACCCCACUGGCGCCGGCCACUGUUUCCAUCUACCACCGCCUGUGAGCGAGAGAGACGCCAGUUCAUCGGGCCCCACAAGCUCCCAUCUGCGCCCAACAGCGCCCUUUAGGACGGAGCGGCGGCACCCCUGCCGACCCCUUCGCCUGUUGCGCGUUCCCCUUGCGGUGAGCGCGCCGCCGUCGAAUGGAUCGGUGGUGGUGCUCUUUGCCCCAAAAGGGGUGGUUCUUCGCCCCUACACCUUGGCUUGCCGAUGCGUGUGGGGAUCGAGAGGAACGGCGCGGCAAAGUGGCGGCGCACUUUUUCUGCGAUUUCUCUGGAUUUCUUUGAUUUGCUUUCUAUAUUAAAUAAUAGCCUCUCCUUGCAUCUGAUACCAAUGUUAAGACCAUGGGAUUGACUAGGCCAUGAUAUUCGGAGUAGAUCGGUGUGUCUGCGAUCUGUACAUGAGGGAGUACAGAGAGAUGGAAGAAGGAGGAGCAGCUACCUUCUCCUUGGCCCUAGAGGAGCGCCCGGUGCCAGUGGUGAACGGAUGGGAGUUCGGCGUAGAGGUCGACGGUGAAGUGGCUGGUGGCGCUUCCCGUCGCUUCAGUGCCUCCCUUUGGAUCGGAUUAGGGUUAGGAGUGGGGAACAGUGGCGGCGAUGAAUCUCAUACCUCGUGCCCAUGGUCCCUACCUCCUCUUUAUAGCACUGCGUGACAGGGGCCCACCAGCCUUGCUUGGGCUGGACGCCCCCGAUCAGGGCGUCGGUCAAGGGCCCAAUGAGCCGUUGGGCCCAUUGGUGGAGAGAUCAACCUAACACAUCUAACACACCCGUGGCCAUAACACCGGGUACUUCCAUUCUUUUGGUCCGCUUGAUAUGAUGCAAUACUCACAAGCAUAAUGAUGCCUAUGAUAAAUUCUUUCUGUCAGGUUUUCACCCUAUGGAGGAUGCCGUUGGGCAGUCUGCUGUCACCCAACUACGAUGCGCUCAAACUACAAAAGGUAAUCAUUACUAACCAGAUAUACCAGCAUCACUUACGUCUAUCCCUAGUUAUUCACCUCAUACCUGGAUCUAUGAUGUAUUCUCUGUCAUCCUCAUUAGACUUGUUGAAAUCACUGAAAACUCUAAACCCUGUCAUCUCGCGCGGUCCUUGUAUUGAGGACCACCUCUUUUAGAUAAUAUUCGAACAUAAAAGAGGUUGUGUCAAACUUUAUCUCUCUGUAGGCAACUAGCACAUGUGAGCAAGGAAAGUGGAGUAGUUUAGUUUGUUGCAGAGCACUCACACGUGGGCCUGAAUUUCAUUCCAUUUUUCACCUCAUGCGUCUUCAACUCAUUUGAAGAUCCAAAACUAUCGCUAGUAGGCAUACCUCAUACCUCCUUUCUUGAUUCCCAAUGGCUAUGACCGUGUGAAGCUUUGCUUUAUCUAUCUUCUUUGUCAUAUACUCCACGACCGUUCACAAUAAGGUGUGCUUUCUGAUGCCUAUCUCUGAACUACCUCACCGUAGCAUGAAAUACAUCAUACACAAUUGUUAUGAGUGGAAGAUCUCUAUUCCCUCGGAGAACAAAGCUAUACACCUUUGAAAGUUGUCAUGAUGACAUGCCUCAGCUCCAUGCGUCUCAUGCAGCAAAGACUGCCACACAGGAGGCUCUUUCUGUACCCACUAAAAAAACCUUUUGUUCUUUCUUUUCAUAUCAGGAGGGUCAAAUGCUGACAUAUUUUUCUACAAAAUUGGUCGAGCUUAAAGAAGCUAGCUUAAGAUAAACCCAAAACUACUAGUAUUUUAGAAUGGAAGGAGUACGACGAAAGUGCAAACAUAUUUUAAAUAAAAACAACCUCAUAAAAAAUAUGCCGAUAAUGAAGCUUAAUGGCGUUUAGAAGACCUAAGCAAUUGCAGUAUCCCAUGAUGUUACCAAAAUCUUUCUUAAUUUUAUCAAGAUCUUUCUUAAUUUUUUUUUGAGAAAUAUCAAGAUCUUUCUUAAUUUGUAUGUAUGUAUAGUAUAGGUUGGUAAAUAAUUUGGAAGUUGAGACGUUCGGCCCAGGUCGUUCUAAUGCUGAGAGGAUAAAUGUGUCUUCAACUGCAGUGUGUUUCUUUAAUGGCACUGUGGUGAUUUGGGAAUUCAGGUUGCAUAUUUAGCCAAGUAAUAUGCUUAAAAUUUAUGUUACUCUACUUGGAGACAUCAACCAAAAACGGUGGUGAAAGUUCCUUUUUUUUAUAUAGAGAUUGCUAGAAGUCAGUAACGAGAAAAUCUGAUAACUGCUGUAUGUUAUUGUGUAUCAGGUGGUGGCAACUUAGCCCAUGAUUUAGUGAUUAAUAAUUGUGGGCAUUAUUUCAUUUCCCCCUAAUCCCUUCCAUGGUUGUGAAUUGGAGUUAGAAAAAGGAGUGGCUACAUUCUUAUCUCACUAACAAGCAACAGAUAGUGCUUGAUGAGUUAGAGGGUAAGAUGCAGGAGAAGGGUUACAGGGGUGAACUAGGUAGUACCAGAGUCUUUGAUGCUCACGAAGAGGAUGGGAAACGUGAGAUGGUUGGAGUGCACAGCGAGUUGUUGGCAUUGGGGUUUGGUUUGCUGGUUAUCCCCAAGGCGAUGACCAUCAGGGUGAUGAAGAACCUGAGGGUGUGCGGUGACUGCCACAACGCCUAGAUGGGGCAUGUUCUUGCAAUGACUACUGCUGAUUCAAAGCUGAAAUCAAAGUGAUUGUCAUUUGAAUUCUUUCUAGAAGAUCCAACCCAUCUUACAAAAAUCCAGAAGGUUCAAGUCUCUGGCUUUUGGCACUUCGUAAUUCAUACCCUGGUACGUUGUCCAACAUGAGUAUUUCAUUGUUCGUUAAGAGCAUUUCAGUGGACUUACAAAUCUUAUAAUAGGCAAGGACAAUCUCUUUAAAUUGUUCAUGCAAUCAUGUAGAAUUUUCAUGCCUUUUACCAGUUCUGUUGUUUGCCAUCCCUGGUGCUAUGUAACUUUUGGUCUUGCUCUGUUGAAUCGUAGCUAUGGCUUGAUCUUUAUGCCAUAUAGGAAUAAUCCCAAAUGGGCGUGUUGAAAUGCCCCGUGAUUGUGAAUAUCUGCAUUUUGGUAAGGUUUAGACGGAGAAAUGUGUUUACUGUUAUUUUUGUGACAACGACAGUGUUGUUUUUAAGCUUGCUUUACUGCUAAGUUUAUUGCAUAAAGAUGCAUGUGACUGUACAAGGAAUCAAAACCCUCUGCUUUGCAAGUACUGUCACAUUGUUCAUCAACGAUCUCCAGGUACGUAGCAUCGCAUGUUUUAUUCAGCUUGUGCUGAUUGGUCCAACUAACCCUGAUAUCUCAUUUUGUGAUUCGUUUUCUUGUGGGUUUUUUUUUACCUUGGGUUUAGUUACACAAUUUGUAUGCACAUAAUCUUGGCCGAAUAUUAGUUUUGUUGUCGGUCUGAAAGAAUGACGCUUGUGGUUUGCUGGCAGGGUUCAGAAGGUGACCACCAAAAUGUCGGAGAAAGUGGCAGCUGGAAUGCUGUUACUUGGAGUUGUGAAGAGCACUGACUAUUUUACAAGCUCAUCAGCUAACUCAAAGUGGCAAAUCUGAUGAAGGUUCAUUCAAGAGAAGCCAUGUACGAAUCCACCUGCAAACCUGGAAGAUAAAUUACUUCCAUAUUGAGGAAUAAAGUUAGCUUCUCUGAAAACGGUAUCUGAAAGCAAAUGAACGUGACUUCGAAAUUUGGAGCCAUGGCCCAUGUGUAUGCAAGGGCAGUGCACCCUUCUAUUACUUGAGGGGUCCAGCAAAGAUUAUUGAAGUUCGUCUUCUGAAGAUGUGAUUGACUAAGUGGGAGUGAAGUUGUUCUUUCUGUUUGUAUCUGAAUUCCGAAAUGACAAACCUAAUGAAGAUCCUUCUGAGGCAUUUUGGUUGUGCCCUUUCUCGCACUGAACCGGUCCAUCGAUGGAGCAGUCAAAGAAGCAAUGCCGCGGUAGCAGAAACAAGAAAAGAAGGCAUUCUAACAGUGUGCUCGCAUGAUCCAGUAGCAUGUGUUUAAUACUAGCCACUAUAACUUGCCAUUGUUCAAACUUAACCCUUCGCCGAAAACAAUCCUCGGUACGGGUGCACGGCGUACCUUUUUUCUCUCUCGAAAACGCAAAAGCUUUGUACCUUGUUGUAUUGAAUAGGUAGGAGCAAACUUAAUUACACAGCCAAGCGGCGUAUUAUUGGUUUAAA